CCCCUUACCUGGCGGGGGACAGGCCGUGGUCAGGAAGGGGGUUCUCCCUGGACGAGGCUAGUCCACUGCACUUCGGCGGCGCUGACCCCUGCGAUUUCCCCACACGCGGGGCCCUGAUCUGCGGUGGUGUUAGUGCUGCCCGGCAGCU
Molecule: small nuclear RNA, 148 nt
Filed under: Macaca fascicularis (crab-eating macaque)
Lineage: Eukaryota; Metazoa; Chordata; Mammalia; Primates; Cercopithecidae
Also listed under: 1 other name
Description: U1 spliceosomal RNA (ENSMFAG00000022669.2)
Rfam family: U1 spliceosomal RNA (bases 1-125)
About the family: U1 is a small nuclear RNA (snRNA) component of the spliceosome (involved in pre-mRNA splicing).
Source: RNAcentral